This 233-nucleotide unclassified non-coding RNA is filed under the name Hevea brasiliensis (rubber tree). The record is from RNAcentral. Lineage: Eukaryota; Viridiplantae; Streptophyta; Magnoliopsida; Malpighiales; Euphorbiaceae.
GGUGAACUAAAUGAGAUGGUAGCUGAUAUUAAGAUGUCUAGAAGUACCAUGCUUAGUGCUUCAAAUUUUGAAAGCACAGAGUCUAUUUCUCCUGGUGACAUCUUCUUUUCUCGCGAGAAUACAGCCUUGAUGAGGCAGAAGAAUGGCUUGCCAAAAAAUGGUAAUAAUGGAGCUAUUCUGAUCCCAAGGCCCACAAAGUUUCCCCAGAUGGAUCCCGCACUUCAACAGCUGAG